This 575-nucleotide ribosomal RNA is filed under the name Colletotrichum fioriniae. RNAcentral describes it as "partial large subunit ribosomal RNA". It matches the Rfam family "Eukaryotic large subunit ribosomal RNA", at positions 87 to 686 of the family's 3401-position model. The record is from RNAcentral. Lineage: Eukaryota; Fungi; Ascomycota; Sordariomycetes; Glomerellales; Glomerellaceae.
CGGCGAGUGAAGCGGCAACAGCUCAAAUUUGAAAUCUGGCCCCAGGCCCGAGUUGUAAUUUGCAGAGGAUGCUUUUGGCGCGGUGCCUUCCGAGUUCCCUGGAACGGGACGCCAUAGAGGGUGAGAGCCCCGUACGGUUGGACACCAAGCCUUUGUAAAGCUCCUUCGACGAGUCGAGUAGUUUGGGAAUGCUGCUCUAAAUGGGAGGUACAUUUCUUCUAAAGCUAAAUAUUGGCCAGAGACCGAUAGCGCACAAGUAGAGUGAUCGAAAGAUGAAAAGCACUUUGAAAAGAGGGUUAAACAGCACGUGAAAUUGUUAAAAGGGAAGCGCUUGUGACCAGACUUGCGUCCGGUGAAUCACCCAGCUCUCGCGGCUGGGGCACUUCGCCGGCACAGGCCAGCAUCAGCUUGCCGUCGGGGACAAAAGCUUCAGGAACGUAGCUCCUCUCGGGGAGUGUUAUAGCCUGUUGUAUAAUACCCUUCGGCGGGCUGAGGUACGCGCUCCGCAAGGAUGCUGGCGUAAUGGUCAUCAGCGACCCGUCUUGAAACACGGACCAAGGAGUCAACCUUAUGUG